This 256-nucleotide ribosomal RNA is filed under the name uncultured bacterium. RNAcentral's name for it is "partial 16S ribosomal RNA". It matches the Rfam family "Bacterial small subunit ribosomal RNA", at positions 793 to 1055 of the family's 1533-position model. The record is from RNAcentral.
GUCCACGCCGUAAACGAUGGAUACUAGCUGUUGGGUGCAAACUCAGUGGCUAAGCGAAAGUGAUAAGUAUCCCACCUGGGGAGUACGUUCGCAAGAAUGAAACUCAAAGUAAUUGACGGGGGCCCCGCACAAGCGGUUGAGCAUGUGGUUUAAUUCGAUGAUACGCGAGGAACCUUACCAAGGCUUAAAUGUAGAUUGACCGUUUUGGAAACAGACUUUUCGCAAGACAAUUUACAAGGUGCUGCAUGGUUGUCGU